This 388-nucleotide ribosomal RNA is filed under the name uncultured bacterium. Its description in RNAcentral is "bacterial SSU rRNA". It matches the Rfam family "Bacterial small subunit ribosomal RNA", at positions 30 to 416 of the family's 1533-position model. The record is from RNAcentral.
AUUGAACGCUGGCGGCAUGCUUUACACAUGCAAGUCGAACGGCAGCACGGGAGCUUGCUCCUGGUGGCGAGUGGCGAACGGGUGAGUAAUGCAUCGGAACGUGCCCUGAAGUGGGGGAUAACGUAGCGAAAGUUACGCUAAUACCGCAUAUUCUGUGAGCAGGAAAGCAGGGGAUCUUCGGACCUUGCGCUUUUGGAGCGGCCGAUGUCGGAUUAGCUAGUUGGUGGGGUAAAGGCCCACCAAGGCGACGAUCCGUAGCGGGUCUGAGAGGAUGAUCCGCCACACUGGAACUGAGACACGGUCCAGACUCCUACGGGAGGCAGCAGUGGGGAAUUUUGGACAAUGGGCGCAAGCCUGAUCCAGCCAUGCCGCGUGAGUGAAGAAGGCC